ACACGAACCGCACGAACGUUAUUCGGAAUCACUGGGCUUAAAGGGUGCGUAGGCGGUCCGGUAAGUUGGGUGUGAAAGCCCUCGGCUCAACCGAGGAAUUGCGCCCAAAACUACCGGACUUGAGGAAGACAGAGGUGAGCGGAACUUGCGGUGGAGCGGUGAAAUGCGUUGAUAGCGCAAGGAACACCAGUGGCGAAAGCGGCUCACUGGGUCUUUUCUGACGCUGAGGCACGAAAGCUAGGGGAGCGAACGGGAGUAGAAACCCCAGUAGUCC
This 274-nucleotide ribosomal RNA is filed under the name uncultured bacterium. RNAcentral describes it as "partial 16S ribosomal RNA". It matches the Rfam family "Bacterial small subunit ribosomal RNA", at positions 523 to 796 of the family's 1533-position model. The record is from RNAcentral.